RNAcentral lists this ribosomal RNA (253 nucleotides) under uncultured bacterium. Its description in RNAcentral is "partial 16S ribosomal RNA". It matches the Rfam family "Bacterial small subunit ribosomal RNA", at positions 524 to 776 of the family's 1533-position model. The record is from RNAcentral.
UACGUAGGAUGCAAGCGUUGUCCGGAAUUACUGGGCGUAAAGCGCACGUAGGCGGUCUUUUAAGUCGGGGGUGAAAUCCUGGAGCUCAACUCCAGAACUGCCUUCGAUACUGGAAGACUUGAGUCCGGGAGAGGUGAGUGGAACUGCGAGUGUAGAGGUGAAAUUCGUAGAUAUUCGCAAGAACACCAGUGGCGAAGGCGGCUCACUGGCCCGGUACUGACGCUGAGGUGCGAAAGCGUGGGGAGCAAACAGG